GGGGCUGGGCGAGAAUGUGGCCGUGUGGGGCGAGGACCUGGGAGUUGGUGUCCGACGCCGCCCCAGGCUCAGGCUUCCAGGACCUCCCGCCCGGGCCCAGUUUGCCAGCCAUCAAGAGGAAAUGGAUCCUGGCUUUGUUUCUCCAAAAUCCUUGAAAGAGGCUGGGGGAAGGGUCGGGACCGUCCCAACCCACCUCAUCCCUCAGCCUAGGCUGGACCCCCUCCCUAAACCAGCGGCUUUUCACCCCGCCCUCCACAAUCCCACGAGGGGCUUCCCUGGGGUGAAAUUAGGCUGCUUCCCGGGAAUUUCCUCCCCCAUGCUGUCCACGGCCACUAGGGACUACAAAACCUAGGGAGCUCUGCCUGCUUUCAAGGCCCCAUUCCCAAGGCUGUGCUCAACAGUGACGCUUCUAUUUUAUUAUCAGUUAUUGCUGUUAAUCUCUUACUGUGCCUAACAAAUUAAACUUUAUCGCAGGCCUUUUCUACCUAUAAAACCCACCUCCUCUGCCCAGCUCAUUGGAGUACCGUUUCUAAAUUUUUAGAGAAGAUGCCAUCCUGAUUCGUGAAUCAAUAAAAGCCAAUAGAUCUUUAAUCUAAAUCUGUGGAAAUUUUGACUUCUGACAAAGAGGUAUUAAAUAACUGUAUAACCGCAUCAGACCAAUCUGAUUCACCUUUUAUAUACCCAAGUUGUGAGUUGUUUUUCAGUUGCAUGGACUCCCAGAAGGAAGGUUUCACACGUAAGCUGAGGAUGCCCAGAUGAGCCGAGCAUGCAACCGGGGCGGAACCUGAGUGCUCAAAUCAAAGCAGGGACUGAAUUAAGAGAUGGGCACUGCAUGGUGAGAUCCAGAAUGCAAUCAGAUCAAGCCCUGGCAUCACCCCAUGGCAGGGUCCAGUCAGAUGAGCAUCCCAGCAUCACCUCAUCGCAAAAUCUAAUCAGAUCAUGUGUCAUUACCGUAUGCUUAUAAAACCCAGCUCAAGGAGACAGAGUUGAGGGUUUCCUCAUGUCUCCUUGACAGUCAACUCACGACAAAGCCUUUCUUUUCUCAAAAACCAGUGCCAUGGUGUUGGCUUCUGGCACAUCAGGAAGCAAGCCCGUUGAUUGCUCAGUAGCAAUUGCAGCAAGGUAGAAGAACAACAGAAUCUGUUCUGACAUUUUUUUCUGAGGGCUUUCUCUGAAAUGAGUAACAAAGAUAGUUUCACUUUUACAGUUACAUAGUAGACCAUCAGGAAAUUGAAUGUCCACGGUCAGGUGUGACAGAGAAGCUUGCGGUAGACCAAGACUCCAGCUAACAACUAGAAAAGCCAGAAAGCAAAGUCAGAAAACAUCUGUUUGAAGGCAGUGGAAGCUGCUGAGGUAAGAAUGGGGGGACUUGAUAUUCCAGAGAAUGAGGAACCUUCAAGUGAGCUAAUGUCCACAGUGGCUUGUAUUGAUGUGUGACGGAUUUUGCCAAUUCUGGAUACAAGGAUGAGGCUGAGAAUUUAGACUUUGAGACCACAGAAGGCCACUGCUGGGGACAGAAAAACAACACAGCUUUUGCAGAGACAUAGGGGGAAAUUCCAAGGACAAUUGCUACAUUCAAGGCUUGUAUGGGGCAAGAAACUGAAAUAUAAAUGGAAGGCCUCUGAAAGCAGAAGUUUUUGAUAGACUGCAAAACAAAGAUUCGAGUCUGAGAUCUGCUAGGGUGGUGGUGGAAGUGGGUUGCUGCAGAGCCUACACCAUGUUCCCAGUUGGAAACUGGAGGGCAAAGGUAGCUUGAACCCUACCAGAACUUCAGCCCAGCCUUCACUCCACACAGUCCUUGAUUGGAUUAAGGUUAUUGGCCACUCCUCUCUUUGGUUUUGUGGAGGAAAGGGAAAACCCUCGUGAGAGAAUGAUAACAUUUGAAGCCUCUACAACUUUUUAGAAGUUGUAUUUGGCAUCUCAUUAAAAAGUUACUAGAUAAAUGAAAAAAAAGAAAAAGACAAUAGAAACGGACCCACAGAUGAGUCAGAUAUUGGAGUUGCCUGAAUAAAAAUAACUAUGAUGACCAUUUUCAAGAAAA
Molecule: long non-coding RNA, 2041 nt
Filed under: Macaca mulatta (Rhesus monkey)
Lineage: Eukaryota; Metazoa; Chordata; Mammalia; Primates; Cercopithecidae
Description: lncRNA (ENSMMUG00000050356.1)
Source: RNAcentral